RNAcentral lists this ribosomal RNA (954 nucleotides) under Halomonas sp. Its description in RNAcentral is "bacterial SSU rRNA". It matches the Rfam family "Bacterial small subunit ribosomal RNA", at positions 89 to 1045 of the family's 1533-position model. Lineage: Bacteria; Pseudomonadati; Pseudomonadota; Gammaproteobacteria; Oceanospirillales; Halomonadaceae. The record is from RNAcentral.
UAAAAAGCGGCGGACGGGUGAGUAAUGCGUAGGAAUCUACCCGGUAGUGGGGGAUAACCUGGGGAAACCCAGGCUAAUACCGCAUACGUCCUACGGGAGAAAGGGGGCUUUGGCUCCCGCUAUCGGAUGAGCCUAUGCCGGAUUAGCUGGUUGGUGAGGUAACGGCUCACCAAGGCGACGAUCCGUAGCUGGUCUGAGAGGAUGAUCAGCCACAUCGGGACUGAGACACGGCCCGAACUCCUACGGGAGGCAGCAGUGGGGAAUAUUGGACAAUGGGGGCAACCCUGAUCCAGCCAUGCCGCGUGUGUGAAGAAGGCCCUCGGGUUGUAAAGCACUUUCAGCGAGGAAGAACGCCUGGUGGUUAAUACCCGCCAGGAAAGACAUCACUCGCAGAAGAAGCACCGGCUAACUCCGUGCCAGCAGCCGCGGUAAUACGGAGGGUGCAAGCGUUAAUCGGAAUUACUGGGCGUAAAGCGCGCGUAGGUGGCUUGAUAAGCCGGUUGUGAAAGCCCCGGGCUCAACCUGGGAACGGCAUCCGGAACUAUCAGGCUAGAGUGCAGGAGAGGAAGGUAGAAUUCCCGGUGUAGCGGUGAAAUGCGUAGAGAUCGGGAGGAAUACCAGUGGCGAAGGCGGCCUUCUGGACUGACACUGACACUGAGGUGCGAAAGCGUGGGUAGCAAACAGGAUUAGAUACCCUGGUAGUCCACGCCGUAAACGAUGUCGACCAGCCGUUGGGUGCCUAGCGCACUUUGUGGCGAAGUUAACGCGAUAAGUCGACCGCCUGGGGAGUACGGCCGCAAGGUUAAAACUCAAAUGAAUUGACGGGGGCCCGCACAAGCGGUGGAGCAUGUGGUUUAAUUCGAUGCAACGCGAAGAACCUUACCUACCCUUGACAUCCUGCGAACGUGUGAGAGAUCACUUGGUGCCUUCGGGAGNGCAGAGACAGGUGCUGCA